GAUGAACGCUAGCGGCAGGCUUAAUACAUGCAAGUCGAGGGGGCAGCAAUGUCACCGGCGAACGGGUGCGUAACGCGUAUGCAACCUACCUACAUCAGGGGGAUAGCCCUAGGAAACUGGGAUUAACACCGCAUAACAUAUGACAAGGCAUCUUGUUAUAUUGAAAUAUUUAUAGGAUGUAGAUGGGCAUGCGUAGGAUUAGCUAGUUGGUAAGGUAACGGCUUACCAAGGCUACGAUCCUUAGGGGCCCUGAGAGGAGCAUCCCCCACACUGGCACUGAGAGACGGGCCAGACUCAUACGGGAGGCAGCAGUAGGGAAUAUUGGGCAAGGGAGUCAACUCUGACCCAGCAAUGCCGCGUGCAGGAAGACGGUCCUCUGGAUUGUAAACUGCUUUUGAAUGGGAAGAAUGUGUGGCUUGCGAGCUAUAAUGACGGUACCAUUAGAAUAAGCCACGGCUAACUACGUGCCAGCAGCCGCAGUAA
This 483-nucleotide ribosomal RNA is filed under the name uncultured bacterium. RNAcentral describes it as "partial 16S ribosomal RNA". It matches the Rfam family "Bacterial small subunit ribosomal RNA", at positions 28 to 523 of the family's 1533-position model. The record is from RNAcentral.